CUUAAAGGAAUUGACGGGCCCGCACAAGCAGCGGAGCGUGUGGUUUAAUUCGAUGUUACACGAAGAACCUUACCAGGGUUUGACAUGCAAGUGGUAGGAAGCCGAAAGGUGACCGACCCUUCGGGGAGCUUGCACAGGUGCUGCAUGGCUGUCGUCAGCUCGUGUCGUGAGAUGUUCGGUUAAGUCCGCUAACGAGCGCAACCCUCGCUGUGUGUUAUAUGUGUCACACGGGACUGCCGGUCUUAAGCCGGAGGAAGGUGGGGAUGAUGUCAAGUCAGCAUGGCCUUUAUAUCCUGGGCUACACACACGCUACAAUGGCCAACACAAUAGGUUGCUAAGCCGCGAGGUGGCGCCAAUCCAUAAAGUUGGUCUCAGUUCAGAUUGUAGGCUGCAACCCGCCUGCAUGAAGAUGGAGUUGCUAGUAACCGCAGGUCAGCUAUACUGCGGUGAAUACGUUCCCGGGGCUU
RNAcentral lists this ribosomal RNA (467 nucleotides) under uncultured Leptolinea sp. RNAcentral describes it as "bacterial SSU rRNA". It matches the Rfam family "Bacterial small subunit ribosomal RNA", at positions 900 to 1382 of the family's 1533-position model. The record is from RNAcentral. Lineage: Bacteria; Bacillati; Chloroflexota; Anaerolineae; Anaerolineales; Anaerolineaceae.